UUUACUCACAAAAUAUCUAGACGCUAUUGACCAGAUGGUAAAUAAUCUUGUUACACCUAUUGCGGCGGAUAUGAAGCACAUUGACCGGAAGCUAAAAUAUUGUCGGGAUCCAGGAUCACAUGAAAAGAGUAAGAAACGAAAGCAUAGGUCAAAAGACUGACUGACUAUCGGGACGGAGCUUCAAAUUUUGGGUGCAGAGAAGGGUUAUCGAUUUAUUUU
Long non-coding RNA from Helianthus annuus (common sunflower), 219 nucleotides. RefSeq lists it as uncharacterized. The record is from RefSeq and is a predicted model, not a curated record. Lineage: Eukaryota; Viridiplantae; Streptophyta; Magnoliopsida; Asterales; Asteraceae. The transcript is spliced from 3 exons.